AGUAAGGUCAGCUAAAUCAAGCUUU
RNAcentral lists this transfer RNA (25 nucleotides) under Pristimantis yumbo. RNAcentral describes it as "partial tRNA-Met". Lineage: Eukaryota; Metazoa; Chordata; Amphibia; Anura; Strabomantidae. The record is from RNAcentral.